This 371-nucleotide ribosomal RNA is filed under the name uncultured organism. RNAcentral's name for it is "bacterial LSU rRNA". It matches the Rfam family "Bacterial large subunit ribosomal RNA", at positions 2114 to 2485 of the family's 2925-position model. The record is from RNAcentral.
CGAAUGAAUUGGACUUUAUUUGCGCAGUAUAGGUGGGAGGCGUUGAAAAAGGUCUUGUGGGAAUAUUGGAGUCAUCAGUGAGAUACCACUCUUGUAAUGUUAGAUUUCUAACUUUGUAUCAUUAUCUGGUCAGAGGACAGUUUCAGGCGGGCAGUUUGACUGGGGCGGUCGCCUCCCAAAGGGUAACGGAGGCGCACAAAGGUUUCCUCUGAACGUGUAGAAAUCGUAUCUAGAGUGUAAAGGCAUAAGGAAGCUUGACUGUGAGACCUACAAGUCGAGCAGGGACGAAAGUCGGUCUUAGUGAUCUGACGGUGCUGAGUGGAAAGGCCGUCACUCAACGGAUAAAAGUUACUCUAGGGUAACAAGGCUGA